This 465-nucleotide ribosomal RNA is filed under the name uncultured bacterium. RNAcentral's name for it is "partial 16S ribosomal RNA". It matches the Rfam family "Bacterial small subunit ribosomal RNA", at positions 28 to 507 of the family's 1533-position model. The record is from RNAcentral.
GACGAACGCUGGCGGCGUGCUUAACACAUGCAAGUCGAACGGAAAGGCCCUGCUUGCAGGGUACUCGAGUGGCGAACGGGUGAGUAACACGUGGGUGAUCUGCCCUGCACUUCGGGAUAAGCCUGGGAAACUGGGUCUAAUACCGGAUAGGAGCCAUUUUUAUUGUGAUGGUUGGAAAGUUUUUUCGGUGUAGGAUGAGCUCGCGGCCUAUCAGCUUGUUGGUGGGGUAAUGGCCUACCAAGGCGGCGACGGGUAGCCGGCCUGAGAGGGUGGACGGCCACAUUGGGACUGAGAUACGGCCCAGACUCCUACGGGAGGCAGCAGUGGGGAAUAUUGCAAAAUGGGCGCAAGCCUGAUGCAGCGACGCCGCGUGGGGGAUGACGGCCUUCGGGUUGUAAACUCCUUUCGCUAGGGACGAAGCUUUUUGUGACGGUACCUAGAUAAGAAGCACCGGCUAACUACGUG